GACGAACGCUGGCGGCGUGCUUAACACAUGCAAGUCGAGCGGUAAGGCCCUUUCGGGGGUACACGAGCGGCGAACGGGUGAGUAACACGUGGGUGACCUGCCCUCAGCUCUGGGAUAAGCCUGGGAAACCGGGUCUAAUACUGGAUAUGACUCCAUGACGCAUGUUGUGGGGUGGAAAGCCUUGUGCGGCUGAGGAUGGGCCCGCGGCCUAUCAGCUUGUUGGUGGGGUGANGGCCUACCAAGGCGACGACGGGUAGCCGGCCUGAGAGGGCGACCGGCCACACUGGGACUGAGACACGGCCCAGACUCCUACGGGAGGCAGCAGUGGGGAAUAUUGGACAAUGGGCGAAAGCCUGAUCCAGCGACGCCGCGUGGGUGAAGAAGGCCUGCGGGUUGUAAAGCCCUUUCAGUGGGGAAGAAAAGCCUCGACCUAACACGUCGGGGUCUUGACGUAACCCAUAGAAGAAGCACCGGCUAACUCUGUGCCAGCCGCCGCCGUAAG
RNAcentral lists this ribosomal RNA (502 nucleotides) under uncultured bacterium. Its description in RNAcentral is "bacterial SSU rRNA". It matches the Rfam family "Bacterial small subunit ribosomal RNA", at positions 28 to 524 of the family's 1533-position model. The record is from RNAcentral.